CACAGAUAGUGAUUAAAUACUCGGUGAUGUUGAUUUGCGCGUCCAAGACACGCGCGAUAUUAUAUAUUGCUUCGAACGAAAAUAACGUACGGACCGGUACGUGCAUAGUUAUUCUAGCCGGAAUAAAAAUCUACCGUUAUUCAAAUCAAAUGCAAUCGUUAUUCGAAAAGCUUAACGACGAAUAAAUAUGACGAAUAAACGGUGCCUUCAAACGAUGCCUUCUAAACGAUGCCUUCAAACGAUGCACGUGUCUAUGAAUUUAUUACACACGGCACAUUAUGCUAUGCAGUGAGUUAACUGUUUCACAUCGAUUCAACACAAACUUCAUUUUACUUGCAACUAUUAUUUGAAAAUUUAUUCAAAUAAGGCCUAACUCUAACUCUAACAAAAUCUUUAUCUGACAAAAAUUCCAAGUACUGCAAUAAUAAACGGAAUAUUAAAAUCUAUUAUCCGUCAAAUAAUAACGAAUAAAGUUAUUUACGUUUGACACGUAAAGGACAUAUAUGUAUAUAUUUAAAUGUAUAUUUACUCGUUGAAUCAAGAUACAUUUUGUUGUUUGAUUUAAUCGAAUCAAAUUGCAUUUGAAUCUUUGUUCGAGUGAUUAUUUUAACGAUACCUAACUCUGGUCACACCUUGUAUGAAAAUAUUCAAGACACAAAAAGUAAAUGAAUUUACCCAAACACCAGAAAUACUGUUUACCGUAACUAAAUCAUUAUAUGCGAACGAAUUUACAUAAAAUGGAAUAUCGUUCCAAUAUUGUAAGACUGGUGAUAAAAAAUAUAGUAAUAUUGUAUAACAGAAUAAUAACAGCAACAAAUACGCGACAGAUGAUUGUGAACGUGAAAUAUAUGAAUAAAAAUUCUUACAUAAAGUUAUAUAAACGAAUAGAUGAUACAACUGAAGCAUGAUCUGCCAAAGAAACUCAACAAAUUUGCACAACAUGCUCAAGCAGUGAUGAAAAACGCAUGCAAAAAUGAUCGUGCAUAAAAAGGACGCUCGAACUCUAUUCUUUAUCGUUCCAUUCGUUCGUUAACCGUUCCACUGCAAAGUUAAUAAAUGAGAAAGCCUCUAAACUGAAUUAAUUUAAUAGAAUAGAAUAGAAAAACUAAGGCAAUUAUUACAGAAACUAAAAUGUUUAUAUAUCUUGUAUUUUUUUUUUUAACUUGAGCAGUUAAAAGGUUAAAUCUAAAAGUGAAUCAAAUUACAACUUUAUCAAUUUCAAACGUCUUUUCUAUGUACGUAAAUAUGACUUUUUUUUUUUUUAUUGGUAUUACUUCACAAGUAAAAUCCUGGAUGCGUAAAAGGGAAAAUAUUGAAGGCCAGCAGAUAUGGGGAUUCAAUCAAAGAAAUAAAGAACGCGAAUACGCAUUCCAGCGUGCGGGGAAAAUCAUAGUUCCCCAUGUUCGAUCGCACGCAAGAGUUCGAUAAAAUAAAAAUAAAAGAUUAGUGAACGCAUAGAAAACAGCGUAUCUAUAAUUAACAAUAAAAUUCGUUACAUCAACAAUAUGCAAAACUGUUUCUCCAUGUAGUAUAUAUUUAGACUUCCAGACUGCACUGUACGAUAAUAAAGAUUUAAAGAUAUGCAUUAAAAUGUCAUUUAUCUAACAUUUUAGGGAUUAAAUAAAAAUUUUCAAUUGUUUCAAUUAAUUUUGAACAUAAAAAUGUCAAAUAAAACGUCCACAGUGUACUACAAAUAUGUAGUUCUACAUACUGUAUGGAACUUGAUUAAAUUAAAGUUUUGAAAUAUUUAUUUCGCAACAGAACAGUUUUUGUAACAGAAAUUCUUUUCAAGGGAGCACGUAAUACUCAGAAAUUUUUGUUUCAAAAUCUACCAAGGAUAAUUUAAGUAAAAGAGAUGCGAUUAAGACGCAACAGCCGAGUGUAACUUGUGAAAGAAACUUUUUAGGCAAUCUAAUAUAUUAUGCAUUCUGGAAAAGUAUCUAAAGGUAACGUAUUUAAAUAACAGAAAUUUUCCCAACUAAUUUCGACAAAUAGAUAUGUCACUUCCCCAGCGGAAAUGCGUUUCCGGUCGUCACAAAUCUAUAGGCUUUCUCUCGAAUUCUCAUUCUUUUAUAUAUAGAGAUAUAUAUAUAUUUAUAAUCUAUAACAUGUUAUUCCCUAUAUACACAUUUAUAUUGCAGGAAAACAGUGUAUGCAUACCGCGCGUGUGUUCGCACGAUAUUACAACGUGUGUGAGUCGCGUGAAGUGCACAAACCGGAAAUUAGUUCGCUAAGUAACCCCGUCGAUGCGUCCCUUGCUCGAUUACGUGCAAUUUUUUUACGAUUAUACAUCGGAGGAAUUUAACCAUUCGAUCGGCGACGAACUCAACGAACGCCUCUGUUCUCUCGGACAUGGAAGAAAAUUUCUAUAAAAAUUAGCGAGUUGUAGCAAGUAUAAAAAAUGAUCACGAAGACGCUACGCGACAUUAAAACUAUCCAAGAAGCUGCGUAUCUCGCGAAACUGUGGAUUUAAUCAAUGUUUCUGUGCCCGUUAUUCCAAGGGCUCGCCAUUGACAUCACGUGGGUUACUUAGUUCAGCCGCGACUGGCCACGGAUAUAAUCGAUCUAACACAAUAAUUCUUAACUUUUCUAAGCUCGACGCGUUAUUUAGAUGAUUCUUUAUUUUUUACUGCACAUUUCAAAAAUUAUUUGUACAAGUAACAAUUUAUUUGUACACUCCCAGGAAUCGAGAAAUGCACAAGAAUGCAACGACGUAAAGUAAGCAAUUUGUAACGAGAACGCGAAAGUUGUUCAAAGGUAUUAACGUCGUAAAGGUAUAAACGUAACAUAAGUAUUGAAAAUGCGUAAGAUAGAUGCACAGAGAAUAUUUGCUGUCAACUAUCGGACGACAUGAACUGCAGGAGUGAACUGAUAAAUAUGCCAAUACUGGCCGGAGAGGUUCGGCUGUGAUGCCAGUGUUGUUUCCUAUUCGCGCAUGCAUUUUUUUGCAUUAUCUGUUGCGUCAGUAAUGCCUAAUCUGACCAUUACAGUGACGCCCUUAACACGCCCAAAAAUGAUAAAAGUAUACAAGAAUUGUGGGACAUUUUUUCAGGAUCAAGACGUGUGAGAAAGACGCACACUCGCAAUCACCUGCGAAUCAGCUGGUCCCAAAAAUGUUGUAACACCUUGAAAGAGGUGGUUCGGGAGGUGAUUUGAAACAACUUUUUCCUUAGCGAAAAUAUUGUCCGAGGCUUCGUUGGGGAGAUAUUAACAAAAUACCCCAACCAAUCAGAGCGCGAGUAUACCGGUUGAGCGUAGGCUACGCGCUAGGCGGCCGCGCUCAUACGCUGCCGCGAGCGCUCCAUCGGCAUACUGGCGCUCUGAUUGGUCAGUAUUUUCCGUUAAUAUCUCCUCAACGAAGACGCGGACAAUAUUUUCGCUAAGGAAAAAGUUGUUUCAAAUCACCUCCUAAACCACUCCUUUCAAUGACUUCCAACAUUUUUGGGACACCCUGUACAUAGAGGCUAGAGGUGAUUUGAAACAACUUUUUCCUUAGCGAAAAUGUUAUCCGCGGCUUCGUUAAGGAGAUAUUAACGGAAAACCCCGACCAAUCAGAGCGCGAGUAUGCCGGUGGAGCGGCCAUGGUAGCGUACAAGAGCUGCCACUUAGCGCGUAGCCUACGCUCAACCGGCAUACGCGCACUCUGAUUGGUCGGUGUUUUCCGUUAACAGUUGAUCGCCACGUUAUCCAUAUAUGGGUGACAGUGAUUUUCCCGAUGGAAUUAAAAAAAUUGUUUUGAAGAUCAGAUGUUAAAGUAAACAAGUCUGGAUAGGAUUUGUGAAUUUUGACGAGGUUGCAAAACUAGAACGCCGGCCCUGGCUACAGUACUGCGCAUUCAACUUUUAACGACGCGUAUGCGCGAGUUUGGAACCAAUGCUGGCAUCACAUGGCUUCGAGAGUACUUGGUAAAAAUGCAUAGAGAAUAAUUUCAGCAUUUCCGUUAUAAUAGUUUCUCUGCUGGUGUACUUGCAUUUUAAAAAUACGUAUUUAUUAUAAAUGCUCCUGUUAUAUGAUCCUAAAUUAGGUUACCAGUAAAAUUUAUUUUGAAAUUUUCUCGAUCAAAGAGGGUUAAGAACCUUCGAAUUGAAAAUAAACAAUUCGUUACAGUUCUAAAUCGUUUGAUAAUUGUAACUGCAAUUUUAAGACAGGUAAAAAAUAAGAAUUCAUAAAAUCAGUUGCCAAAUAUUUACAGCACGAUGGUUCGCAGCUUGAUGGUAGUUAAGAAUCACUGAUCUAAUACCCCGUGGAAAUAAUCGUGGCGCCAGUCACGGUUUCCGUUAAUCGACUUAAUUGCAUAUUUUGCAGAUUUCGUUCCACCUUUUCGUCCCAACGUCGAUUCUACCGUUGACGUUUACGCGCGUCAGUUCGUGUUACGUUCUCGACAGAGCCGUCUUAACGUCGUUGCGGGCCCCCGAGCAAAUGAGUGCAUUGGGACCCUUGUUGAAUUUAUUUCGUUUAGAUAUCGCAGAUGAAAAAAAAAAAAGAAAUUCAAAGGCAAUGGGCAAUUCCAGUGACCAAUGUCGUUCGUCACGUAUGUGUUCAACGUUGCACAAAUUAGCAUGGGGCACCCGUGCCCGUACGUUAAGACGGCAAUUGGGUCUCAGCCCGCGAUGUACAAGAUCGGACUUUGCCAGAGAUAGGACAAAUUUUUGUCUAAAUAGAAAUUUCGAAUAAUGAAUAAAAGGUAAAAAACCGUUUAGACAUCGAGUCAAAAUUAGAUUACAAAAGGAAGUAUUACAGGAUGAAUAAGUAGAAAUUAGGCUGCUCGAUCGUAUAAACAUUACAAAUCAACACCAUAUGUUUACUGUUCGAAUAAAAUUUGUCCUACCCCUUAACUUCGCGCUACACGGUGUGUGUAAGCUUUGUUUGAACUAGAACUUUGCUAUAGUUAAGGCUCUUAGAUGGAAGCAUGUAUAAUAAUCCGUGGCGUGGAAGGAUGCGUCACGGUCAAGUGGUUUCCGUUCAAUCGGUCACGGUUUCGCGCGAUUUUCUUUCCUCUUCCUCUCUCUCUAUUGCGCAAACAAAGAUCCGAACGCAACCAAUCUCGAGAACGAUACGAAUAUAUCGAGGGAAAUGAGAAAAAAUAAAAUGAACGAGGUAAAAGAAAACGAUUUCGUUCGAACGUGUCGGGUUCUUAGGAAAUUAAAGAUUACACUCUAGGUUACAAUUUUUAAGUACUUAACCUCUUCGGGGAUACUGGCACAUAUCUGUACGUUUCGUUUUUAAGUUAAUUUAAAUAAUGUAACGUGGAAGUAAUCAUUAAAAUUAGGGAUUAAAUAUUUGUAAUUAACUUAACGUUAUAACAUUGCUUUUUUUUCAGACUAAAUAAAUAUUCAUCACAAAGCUCAGCAAGCAGUUUAUUAAUAAACGCUUUCGGCAAUUUAUAACUUCACUGCACGAUAACACUAGACAUAAAAUGCUUUGUAUAUCAAUUAUUAACAAAGCUUACAUUAUGUAUAUUAUAACAUACAUAACGUACACUACAGGUAUCAUAAAGAUUACAUCUGACUCAUUUAAAAUAUAAUUCUUUAAAAAAUUGUAUAUUAAUUAUAAACAUAAUAAAAUACUUGAUACGAAACCAACGAUAAAUACUUAUUCGCAAUUAAUUUUUCAGUAUAACGGGGCAAGAUUGGUAGACGUCAUGGAUAAAUGUAUUAGUUCGCAUUUUUGUUCGAUCCGAACAAAAAAAUGGAUACGACCCUGAAGAGGUUAAGAUGUCCAAACUAAUCAGUCUGCCACAAACGCGUGUACACUCGCUUCUCGGUUCCACGGUUAAAUGCUAGUGAUUUCUAGUACUGUUAACGGUGACAUCGCUAAACAUCGUCAACGCUAGGUUCCAUCGGAUCCAGUCCCGAAAGCUGAGGGUUUAUUCUCGAGGACCUUUUCUUUUAGGCUCGAUACACGACGAGUAUCGUUGUACAGAUCGCACGAUACACGGUGGUACAAAUAAACAAUUAUACGGAGGAUUAUUCCAAACGAAACAUCGAUUCAUUGUUUAAUUGACGGUACGAGCAUAAAAAGAACACCGAUGGGUGAUUCGGCCCAUCACAGGUUUUUUUUUUUCACUUAUCGUCUUUCGUUGUAACGUCUGUAACACAGAUUCCACCCAGUCAGUAUCAUUUACGAUAGUGAUUUCGGUUGAUAAAAUUUAUUUGCUCGCGCAUUUGAAUGUUUAUAAAUGGAAAAUGAAUUCACAAGACUGUAUACUAUAUUGCCUGAGAAGUUGGCUAAUUUUUACUUCCUGACUUUGUUAAUUAACGUUACUUUGAAGGAAUAUUUUAUUUUGAGAAAUCCUUCACUGUUUGUACUCAACUGGCUCCGAUUAUUUGUAAAUAAACAAUGCUUUCUUUUUUGGAGAAUUUAAAUAUAUGCUUGAUACGACUCUUGUAUAAGACUUAUUUUUAUUAGGUUGUCCCAAAAGUUUCUUUCGUUUUAUUAAUAAGUAAUACAUACACGAUAUUUUAUGUUUUGUAUUACAUUGUUGAAUUAUCUAAAAAAUUAGAUUGUCUAUUUAUAUAAACACCGACGCACAAAAUAAUUGAGUGCAACUCACAAAAGAAACUUUUGGGACAAUCUAAUACAUAAAGACAGAUUCAAUAUAUUAGGCAUAUAAGUUCUCAGCUCGGACUCGAACCGUUGCCAAUUUCUCAGGCGAUACUGUAUUUUUAUAAAGAAAUAUGCUCACGGUCUCGGGAGGGUGGAACCCUCGAUAUACCGCCGACGAACAUCGAAGAAUCUGUACACAGAAGAACGAUCAUUUUUGCGCGCGCGCAUCUACUUGAUAUGCCCAAUUUUUGAAACGCUACGCACGGCGCGUGGAUCGUUUAGAGUUACGACAAUAUUUCUAUCGCCUAUAUCUCAACGCGCAACAAGAACGACCCUCUGUCACAAAGUAACCACGCUAAUAGUGAAACUUGAAAAUAAAACGUCUCAUAAUCUACCGAACAUGGAACGUGUUACACGCUACUGAAACAAGUAACGUUACCUUUUAAUCCUAUACAGUACAUAAUAAUGUCGUUAAUAAUAAUAAUAAUAAUAAUAAUAAUAAUAAUAAUAAUAUCGUAAUUGUAAUUAUCUCUGUAAUUUCAACGUACGACCUACUUAACUCUGUCAUUACAGUGCAUAAAAUGAUUAGUAUAAGUGUAUGUAUACGUAUUGUAUAUCUAUAUACGUAGAUAUACGGAUACUUCUGUACAGUAACAUUACAAUAAUACCACUUGUGGCUGCUCGCGGGUCUUUAGUGUGUGUGUGUGUGUGUGUGUGUUUACCUUUUGGUGUCUUGCCACCAUACACGAUACAAUUAUCCAGCGAGUAGUAUGAACCAGUGUUUCUCAAUCUAUUUUGACCAAUGGCUCGCUUUCGAGAUCUGCUUUAUAUCUGUUAUAUACCACUCGUGAUUAUUGUUAGGUACUUGUUACAAUCAUAAGAUGUAACUUUAUAUAUUUCUUACUUUAUGAAUGAACCAAUGUUUUCUGCUUCGUUUGCAUUCGUACUUUUAUUUUACUUUUAUUUUAUAUACGAAUGAAUUCAAUUAAAUAACUGAUUAAACUAUACACAUUUUUGGUGUUUUCUCGACUUACACCGAUUUUUCAUAUAAACAUAUAUAUAAAAAAGGAAAAAUCUAUAUGUCGAAUCGAGUAACCUCCUCCUUUUCAAAGUCGGUUAAACCCUUUGACCUUAAUUUACACGGUAUUCCAAGAAACCAAUGUCCCUUGUGAAUCGGGGGAUUGGCGCAGUGAUUAAUGGAAUCCUCGAGGCUGAAGUAAUUAUUUAUCAAGGUUCUCGUACAAUUAAAUGUGAACCGAGAAAGUUAACAAAAGAAAUUUUAUUUUUUUUUCUAAACUUUGUUUCAAUUCCACUACUGAUUCCGAAGUUGUUUUUAACAGCCCUUGGUUUAAUAAUAUAAUACCAAUAUAUGUAUUUAAUAUCACCUCUACGUUUACUGAAGACAUUUGUUUGAAUUAAAAUAGUAGGUUUAAUGUUUCCAGAUAAAUUUUUCAUUAUAAAUACAUACACCUGUGAAGUUUACUCAUGUACAUAUUUAUAAUGAAACAUUGAAUCUAUCAUUUAAUUAAGACAAAGUUCUUCAAUAGGCACAAGGGGAUACGAGUAAUUAUGAGACUGAUUGUGUACGAGUGUAGUAUUAAUAUUUUAUUGAUAUCUUCCCUGGCCAACUCGGAAAUUUUUAUAUCUUUCACUCAUUGCUCCUCAAGAACCAACGAAUCGAGUACUUAAUUCGGAGUCAUACUGGGCCUGUUGAGAUUAACUGGUUUAAACUACAGGCUGGGCUGCCCUGUGUUCAAUCUGAAUAAUCGAUUAAUCGUCUCGAGCAACUAUAUCGAAAAGAUACGCUUCCUCGACCGGCAUCGUGCAAAUUAUCAAACGGCAAGCGAACGUUGUACACGCCUCUGACAAAUCGCGGAUCUUACGUAAAGUCGGCAUAAACAAAUUCAUGUUAGAUCGAUCAACGUCGCUGAUUAUCGUUAGGCCCUUCAAAAUAUCGAAACAAAGGAGUUGGGCGCCGCGUAUAGUGACAAAACUAAGCUUGACCCAUGAAUUUGAAACAAGAAAUAGACUUGACCCUUUUAGUACCUUUUCAGACUUCAACAUUCAUUUAUAUUCCUGCGUUGACGUUAAAUUAUGUUAACCCAAACUGUAUUACAAAAAACCUACACCGCAAUAGAUGAUACAGAAUUAGUUAUUUAGUCAGUGGGAAAUUGAUCGGUGUACGAAUACAUUCUACAGCCACUGUAUAUUUUGUAUUAUAUGUUCCACGUCGAACUACGUCAGGGACGAUUUUUUUUUUUUUUUUUUUUUUU
Hylaeus volcanicus is the source of this 8819-nucleotide long non-coding RNA. RefSeq lists it as uncharacterized. The record is from RefSeq and is a predicted model, not a curated record. Lineage: Eukaryota; Metazoa; Arthropoda; Insecta; Hymenoptera; Colletidae. The transcript is spliced from 2 exons.